Molecule: ribosomal RNA, 780 nt
Filed under: uncultured bacterium
Lineage: Bacteria
Description: bacterial SSU rRNA
Rfam family: Bacterial small subunit ribosomal RNA
Source: RNAcentral
AUGCAGUCGAACGGGGUUUAGGGGCUUGCUCCUAAACCUAGUGGCGGACGGGUGCGUAACACGUAGACAACCUGCCCCGCAGUUUGGGAUAACAGCCCGAAAGGGCUGCUAAUACCGAAUACGUUCCCCCCUCUCUGGAGGGGUGAGGAAAGGCGCUUUCAAGCGUCACUGUGGGAUGGGUCUGCGGCUUAUCAGCUUGUUGGUGGGGUAACGGCCUACCAAGGCUUUGACGGGUAGCUGGUCUGAGAGGAUGAUCAGCCACACUUGGACUGAGAUACGGCCAAGACUCCUACGGGAGGCAGCAGUGAGGAAUCUUCCGCAAUGGACGAAAGUCUGACGGAGCAACACCGCGUGAGGGAGCGAAGGUCUUCGGACUGUAAACCUCUGUCGGGAGGGAAGAAACCCAAAGGGAGGAAAUGCCCUUUGGCUGACGGUACCUCCAAAGGAAGCCACGGCUAACUACGUGCCAGCAGCCGCGGUAAUACGUAGGUGGCAAGCGUUGUCCGGAUUUACUGGGCGUAAAGAGGGUGUAGGCGGCUUGUUAAGUCGUCUGUGAAAGACUGGGGCUCAACCCCAGAGGUGCAGGCGAUACUGACUGGCUAGAGAACAGGAGAGGGAAGGGGAAUUCCCGGUGUAGCGGUGAAAUGCACAGAUAUCGGGAGGAACACCAGUGGCGAAAGCGCCUUCCUGGACUGUUUCUGACGCUGGAGCCCGAAAGCUAGGGGAGCGAACAGGAUUAGAUACCCUGGUAGUCCUAGCCGUAAACGAUGAACACUAGGU